UACGUAGGGGACAAGCGUUAUCCGGAUUUACUGGGUGUAAAGGGAGCGUAGGCGGCCAGACAAGUCAGAAGUGAAAGCCCGCGGCUCAACUGCGGGACUGCUUUUGAAACUGCCUGGCUAGAGUACUGGAGGGGUAAGCGGAAUUCCUGGUGUAGCGGUGAAAUGCGUAGAUAUCAGGAAGAACACCGGAGGCGAAGGCGGCUUACUGGACAGAGACUGACGCUGAGGCUCGAAGGCGUGGGGAGCAAAC
This 250-nucleotide ribosomal RNA is filed under the name uncultured prokaryote. Its description in RNAcentral is "partial 16S ribosomal RNA". It matches the Rfam family "Bacterial small subunit ribosomal RNA", at positions 524 to 773 of the family's 1533-position model. The record is from RNAcentral.